CUUUUUCUGUACGCCUAGACCUUCAGAGGUGGUUCACUCAGUGGCUCAAGCUUCCUGUUUUUGCUGGCCUCCUCACUCAAGUCUACCUUGAGUCCUUCCCUCUGAAGGGAAGAUUAAUGCUACUAAUUUCACUUAUGUGAAAACUGUGAGCUGAUAAAGGACCUGGAUGCUUUUUAAAGCAAAUAUUAAUAGCAGAAAGAGGAAUAUUCCUAUGCUGUGGUGGAAAUAAUUGUCAGGGACAGAGAGCUCCAGGGCUCCCAUACUGGUCUCAGUGCUGACUCUGGACUUUACAGCUGCAAGGGUUUCCAUCAGCUGCCCUUGUUUCUGGGUUUUUGAAAUGCUACCAAAAUGAAGCUUCUCUUUUCUGACAAAGAGCUUGGGAUGGCACUGCAUAUCUCUCUGGUAUGCUAAUCACUUUUGGAUUUCAACACACAGUGAUAAGAAUUUGCCCAGCAGGAUAAAAGUAGUCCAUGGAUUGUUUCAUUCCAUCAGCCCUGUCAUGCAUGCUGUGACAUAAAUGUUACCAGAGCACUUUUGUGGGGAUUUUCUUUGCUAGAACAUUUGGUCCAGAACAAAGUACUUCCAACCACAUUAUCACUGACAUUUGUGGAAGAAUUCUCAGAACUGCAGUUUGUCAUGUUUUGAUAUCAAAACGUAUUAUGGGAUUUCCAUUCAGUUACUGAUAUUUUGGUACAACAAAAUAAGCUAAUCUGGUUAGGAGUCAUUGUGUUACUGCCAAAUUUACUAAAGCUUAAAUAUCCACUGAAAGGAGAAUGAAAAGAUUUUAAUGAAGUAUAUAGAGAGGAAAAUAUCUAUCACCCAACUUCAUUUUGCCUGGAUUUUAAAAUUUGUCUGUAGUUUGUGUUUAUGCAGGAAGAAGUUAUUCUGAAUUUCUACUCCCUUACCCACAGAGACCUAAUGUAAUCAACGGCACUCUGAAAACCAAACACAUCAUCCUCAAAGAAAAGAGUCAUAUCUGUAGGCUUGCUAACAUGCUUUCACCUCUUGUUCCUUCUUUGUUGGUCUGCAGGUCAAUGUUGCAUCAAAAAGUUGCUAGAUAUGCAUUUUAUAUGCAUUAUUUCUUUGUUCUUUUUGUUAUCAAUAAGCUCAGUUUUGGCCAUAUCCAGGUCUGUAUUUCUUAAAGGACUGCUGUGGGGCCUCCAGUGCUAUUCUG
Molecule: non-coding RNA, 1174 nt
Organism: Phasianus colchicus (ring-necked pheasant)
Lineage: Eukaryota; Metazoa; Chordata; Aves; Galliformes; Phasianidae
Source: RefSeq, a predicted model, not a curated record